This 1865-nucleotide long non-coding RNA is filed under the name Solanum tuberosum (potato). RNAcentral's name for it is "long non-coding RNA (STUB_LNC003829)". Lineage: Eukaryota; Viridiplantae; Streptophyta; Magnoliopsida; Solanales; Solanaceae. The record is from RNAcentral.
UAACCUUACCCCAUCUAACUUGGAUUUUGGAUCGCUGUCAAUCAAGAAGCUACCUAGGCGUCCUUGCAGCAGAUGCUGCUGCAGCUGCCUCAUUAUGUAAGGGGCUUUUUAGUUUAUAAUUAUUUGGGUCUCCAAAUCAUAUUUUUCAAAAACGAUGUUACCGACUGAAAUCUCUUUAUGCCUUUUGAAUAGCUCUCAUAAUAUUCUUUAUUUAGUUUCAAAUAGCUGGAUUCUCUAAAUCAAGUAUGUAUCUAGAAGAUUCUGCCACUGAGCUUUUAUGGAUUUUGUUCUACAUCAUUGUGGAGUUUUGUAUUAGAAAUCCAAACGAACUAAAAGAUUCCGUAAUUUUGCCAGCCUUGCUACAGCAAACUAGCAAUCUAAGUUAGAUCCCUUGUAUUUGGUGCUGGAAAGUCUGAAGCAUUUCUGCAUGCUGUUAAAUGAGCACCAAACUCAGGUGCUCAAACUAUUUCUUGCCUGUGUGCUUUUUUCCUUUGAUAAGGGAUUUCUUGCUUGUAUUCUCAAGUAUUUACCUAGUGAUAAAUGUCAGUUUAAUAACUUCAGCUGGUGUAAUUGGGUUGAUUUUGGCAAAUUCAGUAAGUAUCCUCAUGACAUCUUUGAAGUGUUAGGAUUUGUUUAUUGCCUGAGUUUUGAUGUACCUUCCUUUCUUUUUAACAAAAAAUAAAAAGAAAAUCUUGAUCCUUCUUAGUGCUUCAGUUCUUGGUCAGAAUUAAGGUCACCUCCUCUAAUGUGCGAAAAAAUAAAUUUGGUCUUAUUACUCUAUGGAGUUAUUUUCUGGAAGAUUCCGUAAAUCAUAUGUAGGUCAUUGGUUCUCAUAUUUCAUCUAUUAGCAGUAUUUCACUAGUACAAGCUUUCAUUUUAAAGAACUAUUGUCAAAAGUACUGCCUGUAUGCUGAGGAAGUAGCUACAUGGAGCAUGGUUUUCACCUAAGUUGCAUGGACUCUUCACUUUAGAUGCUGCACCCAUUUAUCAGAUUCUCAUUUGUAUUUUUGGAGAACACGACAAGCAUCUGUUGACUUUUUUGAAGAGUUCGAGCAGCAUAGUUUUCACAAGUAGGGGAACAUGUGAGUGGUGAAACAGACUCUAAUUGAUUCUCCAGACCUAGUUUCAUACUUCAUAAUGCAUUGCAUUUGAGAAUCUAGCUUACCAGUGUAGUUAAUACAUUGGUAUAACUUCUUGAGAACUUUUUGCAUUCACUUCUCCGUGGGAAUAACCUGCUUCACUGUAGCAGCCUUUAUCAUGUAAGUAGUGGCUUUAAAACUCUAUAUGCAGGUGACUGUUGAACUGGAUCGAUGCUAUAUGCAUAGCAGUCUUGCUUUGCAAAAUGGAUUUCCUCUUGUUCUUCUCCUUAUAUGAGUUCUUGGAGUCUCCGUUGAUGUUAUCUUUUUGAUCUUCAGCUAUAGUCGUGAGACAAUCUUUAUUAACGAAAUUACACAUUUCAGGGAUCAUACUGACUGAAGAAUUAAGUCAGUCUAGCGAGAUCAAUCUACCCCCCACGAUCAGUGCUCAGACUUAUGGAUACUCUUUCUUGAGGUUCGCUUUGACAUGGUGCCUCUGUGUCCUGGUAAAAGCGUAAAUUUAGCCAAAACACGAUUAGCAUUUGUCAACAGUGAGAUGGCAUUCAACUUGUUAAUGCAUAUCAUACAUUGUUUUUAACAUUUUUAUUUUACCAAAAUUUAGUUUUAAUUUUUGUGCAGGUAUAAGUAUCUUAUGCAAUCUACUCUUCAUUUCCCCUUGCUCUUGCACGUGAAACGUAGAAACAUUUGUUCAGUUGGAAAACUAACAAAGUGGUAGUAAGAAUGCUGCAUUGCUACCUGAUGGUUUCGUUGCAUUACGUUAUAAACUUU